Molecule: ribosomal RNA, 253 nt
Filed under: uncultured bacterium
Lineage: Bacteria
Description: partial 16S ribosomal RNA
Rfam family: Bacterial small subunit ribosomal RNA
Source: RNAcentral
UACGAAUGGGGCAAGCGUUGUUCGGAAUCACUGGGCUUAAAGCGUGCGUAGGUGGACUAGCAAGUCAGGAGUGAAAUCCCCGGGCUCAACCCGGGAACUGCUUCUGAAACUAUUAGUCUAGAAUCCUGGAGAGGUUGGGAGAAUUCCUAGUGUAGAGGUGAAAUUCGCAGAUAUUAGGAGGAAUACCAGUGGCGUAGGCGCCCAACUGGACAGGUAUUGACACUGAGGCACGAAAGCGUGGGGAGCAAACAGG